Molecule: transfer RNA, 70 nt
Filed under: Onthophagus nitidior
Lineage: Eukaryota; Metazoa; Arthropoda; Insecta; Coleoptera; Scarabaeidae
Description: tRNA-Ala
Rfam family: tRNA
About the family: Transfer RNA (tRNA) molecules are approximately 80 nucleotides in length. Their secondary structure includes four short double-helical elements and three loops (D, anti-codon, and T loops). Further hydrogen bonds mediate the characteristic L-shaped molecular structure. tRNAs have two regions of fundamental functional importance: the anti-codon, which is responsible for specific mRNA codon recognition, and the 3' end, to which the tRNAs corresponding amino acid is attached (by aminoacyl-tRNA synthetases). tRNAs cope with the degeneracy of the genetic code in two manners: having more than one tRNA (with a specific anti-codon) for a particular amino acid; and 'wobble' base-pairing, i.e. permitting non-standard base-pairing at the 3rd anti-codon position.
Source: RNAcentral
AGGGUAAUAGUUAAGUAUAACAUUUAAUUUGCAUUUAAAAAGUAUUGAAAUUAAUUUUCAAUUUACCUUA